UACGAAGGGGGCUAGCGUUGUUCGGAUUUACUGGGCGUAAAGCGUGCGCAGGCGGCUUUGCAAGACAGAUGUGAAAUCCCCGGGCUUAACCUGGGAACUGCAUUUGUGACUGCAUGGCUAGAGUGCGGCAGAGGGGAUGGAAUUCCGCGGUGUAGCAGUGAAAUGCGUAGAUAUGCGGAGGAACACCGAUGGCGAAGGCAAUCCCCUGGGCCUGCACUGACGCUCAUGCACGAAAGCGUGGGGAGCAAACAGG
Molecule: ribosomal RNA, 253 nt
Filed under: uncultured bacterium
Lineage: Bacteria
Description: partial 16S ribosomal RNA
Rfam family: Bacterial small subunit ribosomal RNA
Source: RNAcentral